GACGAACGCUGGCGGCGUGCUUAACACAUGCAAGUCGAGGGGUCGGAGCAAUCCGGCACCGGCGAACGGGUGCGUAACACGUGAGCGACCUGCCUUCUUGCGGGGAUAGCCGGCCCAACGGCCGGGUAAUACCGCAUGGACCGGAGUUCUGGCAUCGGGAGUUCUGGGAAACCUUCGGGGCGAGGAGAGGGGCGUCGCGGCCUAUCAGCUAGUUGGUGCGGUGACGGCGCACCAAGGCGACGACGGGUAGCUGGUCUGAGAGGAUGGCCAGCCACAUUGGGACUGAGAGACGGCCCAGACUCCUACGGGAGGCAGCAGUGGGGAAUCUUGCGCAAUGGCCGAAAGGCUGACGCAGCGACGCCGCGUGCGGGA
RNAcentral lists this ribosomal RNA (372 nucleotides) under uncultured bacterium. RNAcentral's name for it is "bacterial SSU rRNA". It matches the Rfam family "Bacterial small subunit ribosomal RNA", at positions 28 to 408 of the family's 1533-position model. The record is from RNAcentral.